ACGGCUCAGUAACACGUGGACAACCUACCCUGAGGUCGGGGAUAAACCCGGGAAACUGGGUAUAAUACCCGAUAGAUCUAGAUCGCUGGAAUGCUUUUAGGUCUAAAGUUCCGACGCCUCAGGAUGGGUCUGCGGCCUAUCAGGGUAGUAGUGGGUGUAAAGUACCUACUAGCCUACGACGGGUACGGGUUGUGAGAGCAAGAGCCCGGAGAUGGAUUCUGAGACACGAAUCCAGGCCCUACGGGGUGCAGCAGGCGCGAAACCUUUACAAUGCUGGCAACAGCGAUAAGGGGACCUCGAGUGCUACGAUACAAUCGUGGCUGUCUAGUUGCCUAAAAAGCAAUUGAUAGCAAGGGCCGGGCAAGACCGGUGCCAGCCGCCGCGGUAACACCGGCGGCUCGAGUGGUAACCGCUAUUAUUGGGUCUAAAGGGUCUGUAGCCGGCUUAGUUAGUCUCUUGAGAAAUCUGGCCGCUCAACGGUCAGGCGUUCAGGGGAUACUGCUAAAGCUCGAGACCGGGAGAGGUGAGAGGUACUUCCGGGGUAGGGGUGAAAUCUUGUAAUCCUUGAAGGACCACCAGUGGCGAAGGCGUCUCACCAGAACGGAUCUGACGGCAAGGGACGAAAGCUAGGGGCACGAACCGGAUUAGAUACCCGGGUAGUCCUAGCCGUAAACGAUACUCGCUAGGUGUCGGCCACGGUGCGACCGUGGUCGGUGCCGUAGGGAAGCCGUGAAGCGAGCCACCUGGGAAGUACGGCCGCAAGGCUGAAACUUAAAGGAAUUGGCGGGGGAGCAC
Molecule: ribosomal RNA, 795 nt
Filed under: uncultured archaeon
Lineage: Archaea
Description: bacterial SSU rRNA
Rfam family: Archaeal small subunit ribosomal RNA
Source: RNAcentral